CACAGGUUUGGUCCCAGCCUUCCUAUUAGUUGUUAGCAAAACUACACAUGCAAGUAUCAGCAUCCCUGUGAGAAUGCCCUAUAAGUCAUCAUAUUCCGACAAAAAGGAGCAGGUAUCAAGCACACUCCAAGUAGCUCACAACGCCUUGCUCAACCACACCCCCACGGGUAAACAGCAGUGAUAAAAAUUAAGCAAUAAACGAAAGUUCGACUAAGUUAUGCUAACCAAGGGUUGGUAAAUUUCGUGCCAGCCACCGCGGUCAUACGAUUAACCCUAACUAAUAGACCCACGGCGUAAAACGUGUUUAAGAACAUUAAAUAAUUAAAGCCAAACUACAACUACGCUGUAAAAAGCCCUAGUCACUGUAAGCCCCACUACGAAAGUAGCUUUAAAUCCUCUGAAUACACGACAGCUAAGACCCAAACUGGGAUUAGAUACCCCACUAUACUUAGCCAUAAACCCAAAGAAUUAACACAACAAGAUUCUUCGCCAGAGUACUACUAGCCAAAGCUUAAAACUCAAAGGACUUGGCGGUGCUUCACAUCCUUCUAGAGGAGCCUGUUCUAUUAUCGAUAAACCCCGAUAAACCUCACCAACUCUUGCUAACUCAGCCUAUAUACCGCCAUCUUCAGCAAACCCUAAAAAGGAACCACAGUAAGCCCAACCAUAAUACAUAAAAACGUUAGGUCAAGGUGUAGCCUAUGAGUUGGAAAGAAAUGGGCUACAUUUCCUACAACAAGGCCAUUUACAAUCUUUACACGAAAGCUCCCGUGAAAUCAGGAUCUAAAGGUGGAUUUAGCAGUAAGCUAAGAAUAGAGUGCUUAGCUGAAUCAGGCCAUGAAGCACGCACACACCGCCCGUCACCCUCCUCAAAUAACCCAAUGUUAACCCCUAAACCUAUUAACUCAAACCACAUACUAUUAGAGGAGACAAGUCGUAACAAGGUAAGCGUACUGGAAAGUGCGCUUGGAUAACC
This 976-nucleotide non-coding RNA is filed under the name Tonatia bidens (Spix's round-eared bat). Its description in RNAcentral is "partial 12S ribosomal RNA". It matches the Rfam family "Bacterial small subunit ribosomal RNA". The record is from RNAcentral. Lineage: Eukaryota; Metazoa; Chordata; Mammalia; Chiroptera; Phyllostomidae.